UGUAGUCAUAUGCUUGUCUCAAAGAUUAAGCCAUGCAUGUCUAAGUAUAAGCAAAUUAUAAAGUGAAACUGCGAAUGGCUCAUUAAAUCAGUUAUCGUUUAUUUGAUGAUCUCUUACUACAUGGAUAACCGUGGUAAUUCUAGAGCUAAUACAUGCGUAAAAGUCCCGACCUCUGGAAGGGAUGUAUUUAUUAGAUAAAAAACCAAUGCCUUCGGGCUUCUUGGUGAUUCAUAGUAACUUAACGAAUCGCAUAGCCUUGUGCUGGCGAUAGUUCAUUCAAAUUUCUGCCCUAUCAACUUUCGAUGGUAGGAUACAGGCCUACCAUGGUUUCAACGGGUAACGGGGA
RNAcentral lists this ribosomal RNA (346 nucleotides) under uncultured fungus. RNAcentral describes it as "SSU rRNA". It matches the Rfam family "Eukaryotic small subunit ribosomal RNA", at positions 21 to 368 of the family's 1831-position model. Lineage: Eukaryota; Fungi. The record is from RNAcentral.